This 507-nucleotide ribosomal RNA is filed under the name uncultured Pseudomonadota bacterium. RNAcentral's name for it is "bacterial SSU rRNA". It matches the Rfam family "Bacterial small subunit ribosomal RNA", at positions 355 to 853 of the family's 1533-position model. The record is from RNAcentral. Lineage: Bacteria; Pseudomonadati; Pseudomonadota.
UCAGGAAUAUUGGGCAAUGGGCGAAAGCCUGACCCAGCAACGCCGCGUGAAGGAUGAAGGCCUUCGGGUCGUAAACUUCUGUCGAGAGGGAAGAAUGUGUACGGGUGAACAAUCCGUGCAUUUGACGGUACCUCCAAAGGAAGCACCGGCUAACUCCGUGCCAGCAGCCGCGGUAAUACGGAGGGUGCAAGCGUUGUACGGAUUCAUUGGGCGUAAAGCGAGUGUAGGCGGUUUGACAAGUCGGAUGUGAAAUCCCGGGGCCCAACCCCGGAACUGCAUCCGAUACUGUCUGGCUAGAGUCCCGGAGAGGGUGGCGGAAUUCCCGGUGUAGGGGUGAAAUCCGUAGAUAUCGGGAGGAACACCAGUGGCGAAGGCGGCCACCUGGACGGUGACUGACGCUGAGACUCGAAAGCGUGGGUAGCAAACAGGAUUAGAUACCCUGGUAGUCCUACGCUGUAACGGUGAGUGCUCGUCGUCGUGGGUAUUGACCCCUGCGGUGACCAAGUU